Zea mays is the source of this 2452-nucleotide RNA transcript. RefSeq lists it as uncharacterized. The record is from RefSeq and is marked validated. Lineage: Eukaryota; Viridiplantae; Streptophyta; Magnoliopsida; Poales; Poaceae. The transcript is spliced from 7 exons.
CACUCACUCACUCGUACGCCGUCGCUUCCUGCGGUACGCACUCUCUGUCCGCUGCGUUCCUCCAGCUAGCAACUGGCCAUCGGGGCUGCUAUAGCAGAGUAAGUGGCGAUGGCUCCAGCUCAUGAUAGGCUCCGCCGCCUGGUGCUGCUCCUCGUCGUUGCCACCGCGGCGGCGGCUUUGCUUCUGGCGCCGACGACGGCGGAUGCUGCGCUGCCGCGGGUGCAGCACACGCCCACCAAGGCCGACGGGUCGCUCGCCAUCCUCGUCGUCGGCGACUGGGGCCGCCGUGGACAGUUCAACCAGACCUUGGUUGCCCAGCAGAGACCUCGCACGCUCGUCUCCGCCGAAGUCGCAAGUCACGGCAUUUUCAGAUGGGCGUGGUGGGGCAGAAGCUGGACAUCGACUUCGUCAUCUCCACCGGCGACAACAUCUACGACGACGGCAUCGCCAACACCAGCGACCCCCUCUUCAAGGAAUCGUUCUCCAAUAUCUACACUGCCAACAGCCUUCAGAAGCCUUGGUACCUGGUCCUUGGUAACCAUGACUACACGGGAAACGCGCUCGCGCAGCUCGACCCUGCCAUUCGCAAAGUGGAUAGCCGGUACACCGCCAUUGCCAAGUCCUUCAUUGUCAACUCAGGGAUUGCGGAUUUUUUCCUCGUCGACACAACGCCGUUCAUUGUCCACUACUGGAACAACACCAAGUUCGAUUGGAGAGGCGUCGCUCCUCGAGACACCUACAUCGCGAAUCUCCUCAAGGACUUGAAGUGUGCACUGACAGCGUCCAAGGCUCCCUGGAAGAUCGUCGUGGGUCACCACCCCAUCAGCAGCGCCUGCGGGCAUGGGAACAACACUGAGCUGGAGGAGUUGCUUCUCCCGGUCCUCAGGGUAUAUAUAUGCAUGCUGUUCGAUCUAACAUGAAGUUAAUUGUCUUCUCUCAAGUCAUUAACAUGAUCGAUCGAUCUAUAUAUGAAACUGAAUGUUCCUGCUGCUUUGCAACGCAAUUAACACUACUGCGCAUGCAGACACACGGGUAGUGCUGCAACUUGGACCGUGCCGUGCCGGCCCGGCACGAGCCCAUCGUGCUUCGGGCCUCAGUUAGUCGGGCCUAUCUAGCACGAAAUAGAAUCGGGCCGUGCCUUACUGGGCCUCGUGAGUAGAAAUAAGGCCCAGCACGGCCCUAAAGCACGGCGGGCUUCCGUUGGGCCGUGCUGGCCCAGGCACGGCACGCAAUUAAGUUUGUAUCUCGGUCGCCGUGGGGAGAUCAGGAGAUGGCCGCUGGGCUGGCGCCUCGGGAGAUCCGGAGAUGGCGCUUGGGGAGAUGGAUUGGCCGCUGGGCGCCUGUCUGGCCGCUGGCAUGCAUGGCAUCGUGGCCGCAGGACCGCUGGAUGGCCGCUGGGCGUGGGCGCGUGGCCGCUGGCCGCUGGGCGUCACGCCUAAGGAGAUGGCCGCAUGGCGCGUGGCCGCAGGACCGCUGGAGUCUGGACGCCACGCCGGGGAGAUGGCCGCAUGGCGCGUGGCCGCAGGACCGCUGGAGUCUGGACGCCGCGCCUGGGGAGCUGGACGCCGCGCCUGGGGAGAAGACGAAUGGAUGGGCUGGCGGCGGCCGACGCCUGGGGAGUCGAGGAGAGAAUCGGAGACGGGCGGACGUCUGGGGAAACGACUAAACCUAAUUAAAUGGCGGCCGACGCUGGACCGGGAUGUUUUCGUGCCGGGCCAGCACGAGCACGGCCCACAACAACGUGUCGGGCCUGGUAGCACGACGGGCUCAAAUUUAGAGCACGGCCCAGCCCGCGAUUCGUGCCGUGCUAGCCCGAAUUUAAACCAGUCGUGUCGGGCCGGGCCUUUUUCCAUUUUUCACGGGCCGUGCUCGGGCCGGCCCUUUAGGCACGGCCCAAACUUUCAGGACUACACACGGGGUUGACAUGUACUUGAAUGGCCAUGACCACUGCCUGCAGCGCGUCAGCAGCAGAGACAGUCGUCUUCAGCUAUUAACCAGCGGCGGCGGGUCCAAGGCAUGGGCUGGCAAGUUCAAGCCCACCCUCGACAAGGUGGAGUUCCUCUACGACGGCCAGGGGUUCAUGUCGAUGCGCCUGAGCAGGACGGAGGCCCGCCUCGCGUUCUUCGACGUCGCUGGCAGCGUCCUGCACUGCUGGACCAUGCAUGCCCAAAAAUUAACGACGACGACGACUGCUGCUGCAGCUAGGCACUAAAGCUUUGCUGGGUACGAUGAGUUGAUGAUGCAAUUAAUUAUUUGGUUUUGUCGUCUUUUCGUGCGUGAGAGGGAAGCAAUAAUAAUUAAUUGCUGCUGCUUCUGUUGUUGUGUGCACAUGCAUGUGAGGGUGUCAAGUAUGUUCAGCCUCUUGCAAGAUAAAAUCUCUCGUCUUCUGUGGAAUAAACUGGGAAAAAAGUUUUUUUUUGUAAAGUAUGCAGGAGUUUCGCGUGUGCUGAUA